CAUUCCUCUUUGCUUCCGGCACCACAUGAGCAACAAGACGAGUACCGUCCUGGAGUCAACACGGGGCACGUCAGGCUUACGUAAGGGACAAUUAAUUCGGGCAAAAAGGGGACAAGGACCCCAACCGAUCAUGCUUCUACAUACAAGACUUCGAGCGACACUUGGGCGUACGAUGCCUGCUAGCUAAAUAAGCAAAGCAGGGGCGAACAUCUAAGGGUGCUUCAGGUUCCAUGUCGCACUAAACAUUAAGCACGAGAUAGAGUAGGGACCGUGGGACUAGAGAAUUCCAUCAAAAUAAGUAUGCAGCACAGGGGGCCAAGACAAUCCAAGGCAAAAUAUUUAGCACUUGAACAUUAUUGAAUAAGUGUGAACAAGCGGUUGUCGCUGCCGGGACAGGGAACCAACCAACCGGAACAUACCAAUCACCACUCAUGCGCUACACGUACAACAUGCCACCAUCACCCACUAGGUAGAAGCCCCUCAAAGACCCAAAGUCUAAAAAGAACUCGACCAGAGCAAGUGAAAGC
Molecule: unclassified non-coding RNA, 527 nt
Filed under: Smyrniopsis aucheri
Lineage: Eukaryota; Viridiplantae; Streptophyta; Magnoliopsida; Apiales; Apiaceae
Description: partial external transcribed spacer
Source: RNAcentral